Molecule: long non-coding RNA, 7055 nt
Filed under: Citrus sinensis (sweet orange)
Lineage: Eukaryota; Viridiplantae; Streptophyta; Magnoliopsida; Sapindales; Rutaceae
Description: long non-coding RNA (CSIN_LNC001403)
Source: RNAcentral
GGGUAUGCACCACUAGCAGUGGGAGCAGACGUGCCGGCAGCUGUGAGAGAAUUUAGCCGGACCUUAUUCAACAUGAGGCCGGACAUAUCACUAUUUGUUUCAAAAACCGUAUUUGACACGGACCUGAGGGGGAUACUAGGCCUAGUCAGGGUGCCAUGUGUUAUAAUGCAGACCUCAAAAGACGUCUCCGUCCCGGUCUCCGUCGCUGAGUACUUACAGAGACAUCUGGGCGGCCGGAACACCGUUGAGCUUUUGAAGAUUGAGGGUCAUUUGCCGCAUUUGAGCGCCCCUGCGGUCGUGGGUCCCGUCAUCCGGCGAGCCCUGUCGAGAUGAUGAUUUCUCUAGCUACUAGGUGGGGCCCGCACCCGGAAUAAUUUGUGGACAAAAGGCUUUUGGACUCGGGAUUAUUAUUAUUAUUAUAUGAUCUUCUUACAAAGAUAAGCGUACCCAUGUGAUUAUCACGUGAAGACGUGUCCUAUUUUGUUUUGUUUUUUCCUUUUUUCUUAUAAUGUGCCAAACUUUUAUCCUUUAUUCGGCAAGCGAAAAUCAGGAAAUGAAAGGGCUGUCUGUUGUACCUUUUUUUUUUUUUUAACUAUUGACAUUGGAUACUUUCUUGGACUAAGAUUCUCCUUUUGCUUUUUUAUCUUCUAAUUUUUUUGGUUAAAUGAGUGAUAAAAGUUUGAAUUUUAAAUUUUGAUAUUAAUAAAUAAAUUAAUUUUUUUUUAUAUUCAAAUUAGUUUUUUUAAAAAUAGAUUUAAAAAGCAGAGAAAGACUAAUGGAAAAAACAAACAGAGGGAAGAAUCUUAAUCCAUUUUUCUUAUUCCGGAGGAAUUGCCGCCGACUUGUUAUUUAUUUUACGGCGGAGAAUCUUCAAUCUUAUGUUUAUUCGGUAAUAAGAUCCAAAAUGUGAGACAUCCACUAUUAGAUAGGGAUGGUAAUGGAUUUGAUCUGAUCUAAGAUUCAUGUGAUCUAAAUUUAAUCGGAUCGAAAUUGGGUCGGUUUAAAAUGAAUUUGGAUCGGAUUUAGAUAUUGAUGUGCAGAUCUAAGAAGGAUAUGGAGCAGGUCUGGAUAUAUCUUAAUAUCUAAAUCCAUAUCCAUAUCCACCCAUCUUUUAAUUUAAUUUUAUUUUAAAAGUUUCUUAACAAUUGUGUAAUUAUACUGAUAAUAAAUUUUAUUCAUAGCAUAUUAGUGGUAUUUACCAUGUAUUUAAACUCUUAAAACUUAAAUGUUAGUUUUGUAAAUUUAAAGGUCAGUCAGGCCUAAAGUAUGUGCAUGCAAUAUUCAAAUUGCAAGUCAAGUAAUACAACCUGACAAUUUAUUUUAUUAUAUUAGCCAAAUAAUUUUUAAGGAAUAUAGUUAUUCAUAUAUUUAGUCAAAUAUGGUCAUAAUAAAAAUAAUAAAUGAUUUAAUAUAAAUUAUAUUUAAUUUAUAUGUCAUUAUCUAAUGUUAUAAGAAUGAAGAUGAGUGUGUCGUGAAUAUUAGAAGGGAAAUUAUCAACCAUAUACCCUUAAAUGACACCAGUAUCAAACGUGCUACAACACUUUUCAAGUGCAUCACUCAUAUACCCUAAGUUGACAAAACACUUCUACCGUCCACCGAUCCGUUAACUGCCGUUUGUGAACGCUGACAUCAUAAGGGUAAUCUAGUCAUUUACAUAGUAAAAAACGACAUCUCAUUUACAUAGUAAAAAACGACAUGUCAUAUGCUAUAUUUUUAUUGAAGAUCUACUCCUCCAAGCUCCACCUUGAAUUUUUUAUGAUAUAAUAUGUAUAAUUAUAAAUAAUAUGUUGUUAAUGAUUUUUUAUGGUAUAAGAUGAAUAUUCAUGUCAUCCCAUUUAUCAUAAUAUGUACCAUUAAUAAUUUAUUUUUUUAAUUAAAAAAUGUAUUGUUAAUAACAAAAUUAAAAAAAAUUGUGUAUUGAAAAUUUACAUUAAUUUUCAAGGCAAAAUUAUUUUUUUACCUCAUUUUGAGUUUAAAGGGUAAAAUAGUCAUUUUGCUCAAAUUCCGUUUUUUACCUCAUUUUGAGUUUAAAGGAGGUGGACGGUAGAAGUGUUUUGUCAACUUAGGGUAUACGAGUGAUGCACUUGAAAAGUGUUGUAGCACGUUUGAUAUUGGUGUCACUUAAAGGUAUACUGGUGAUAAUUUCCCAUAUUAGAAUAAUGAAUGAUAUAAUAGAAUAUUAGAUUGAUCUUACUCCUGUAAUUACUUUUAAAAGAUAUUUUAUUAUCUUAUUUGUUAUUUUGGUGUAAAUGUAUAAGUUACAAUAUUUAUUAUAUUUUUGAAAAAAAUUAUAUAAUUUAUUUGUUAUGAAUACAUUUUAGUUUUCAAUUUUCAUUCAAAAAAAAUAUUACUUUUUUAAUUGAUGAGUUUUAGAAUUCAUGACAAAUCUAGAGCAUAUUUGAAUUAUUAUUUUUUUUUCGGAUUUGAAGCAGAUAUAGAUAUUUAUUUCUUUUUUGGAUCUGGAUAUGGAGCAAAAAAUAUGGAUUCAUGACGGAUCUGAAGCAGAUACAAAUCUUAAUUUUUAUUAUGAAUCUGGAUAUGGAGUAGAAUAGAUUCAAUUCAUAUCUGCCUCAUUGUCAUCCCUACUUUUAGAUGGAUUUCGGCCACAUAUUCUUUUCCUCCCGCAGCACUUUGUCUCUCUAAUUUGGGUCGUCCAUUAUCUAUUUUUCACUGUCACGAGAGAAAUACAUUGGAAGUUUUAUUUAUCCUUUGUCUUCGUUAAUGAUAUUUUGUUUUUUCAUUUAGACUUUAUAAUUGCAUUCGACAUUCAUAUUUUAAUUUAAACUAUGGAUAUGAAAUAUAUUGAUUAGUUUUUACGACUCGGACCCUAACUAAUAGUUGAGAAGAAAAUUUGAGUCCCACACGACUCGGACCUGCGCCCCCAAUCCCUCAAAUCGAGAGCACAGGUCCUUCACAACUUGGCCUUUAUUUGAUUGUUUUUGUUUUUUUUCGAAUUUUGCAAAAAUACGACAGACAAGUGACAUUUAUGUAACCAAGAAUUAUUGCAGCAUUAUUUCAGUAUUAGCCAUCUAAUUAAUGAAGAUGUUUCACUUCAUUAUCUAUCUACGGUUGUUUCAAUUUUCUAAGAAAAAUAAAAACUACUUAAAAGGAGUACCCUUCAUCCAAAAUAAACUUAACGUGAUUAUUGAAGCUUUUUAGAAUUGUCAUUUGCUGUUAAAUACUUGAAUAGGCAAAGCAAACUCGCACGACAGUUCAUUACCACAGCCCUGGGCCUAGUUGGGUUUUAAAUGAAGGCCUGUCCCAAACUCCUAAUGGAAGGGAAACAAAAUGGAGGAGGGCGAAUGAUUAGUCCAGGCCUUCAUUUGUAAAACCCACUCAGGCCCAUGACUGUCGUAAUGCUAACUACGAGAUCGGUAAUAUUUGACCCCUUUAUUAGCCUCCACCUUUUAACUAAUUUUAUUAAAAAUUAAAAAUUAAUUUUUAUCUCUCAACAUACUUCAUCUAGUCCCGAAUUUAUCCUUAUUAUAAUUUUUAUCUUUUAUUCCAAGCACUCAUCAUAUAAAACUUAUAAAAUAUAUUUUAGAAAAAAAAAAUUCUCAAAAUCACUAUUAUAUCUCUCUUUCUUUUUAAAAGUUUUAUCCACCAUGGCCAUAACUAUAAAAAAAUACUUGGUACUUCUUCAUUAUCCUCUAGUGAGUAUUGUAAAUUAAUUUCUUCCAUAAUUAAAAAAAUAGAGGGUAUAAUAUUUCAGAAUAGAUAAUAAUUUAAAAUUUUAAAAGAAAUUAGAUUAGCUAAAUUAGAUAUUAAUAGAAAUUAUCAUGUGGGGGCACUUAAAAGUUAUUUACUCUUUUAAGUCAUGUCAAAUAAGGAUAAAAUAAGUAUUAGUAUAAAAGCGAUUAGUGGGGAUUGACGAGAUAUAAUGAGGGGGUCAAAUAUUACAACUCCAACUACCAUGUGUUAUUUUCAGAGUGUUGCUACGGAGGACUAUCAACCCCUAAAAUAACCUUUAUCUAACUGAACCACGCCGGAAAAAUAAAAUAAAAUAAAAAUCAUAAUAUUAUUAAUAACAUCUACACGCCAUGAGUUGAUGAUUGUAUUUGUUUCAUUCUUUUUUAAUAACAGGUAUGACUUUUAACUUAGUAAGGAUGUCACUAAAAAACUUUUCAAAUGAGAAGUGAAAAACGCUUCAAAUGAGAUUGUUAUUUUCUCUCUCUUUAAAUUUAAAAAGUGAAUUCUCCUUCUUCAAAUAAUAUUAUGUUAUUUUUUUAUAUCAUCAUUAUUAAAGAGAAAAGUAUUAUAACUAUAUCAAUGAAAAAAUAUAGGCUAAUUAAAUUUGGUGAGAGAAGAAUUUAAUUAGAAUAAUACAAACUUGUAUCUAUAUGAAGAGUCAUUUCCGAAAAAAAAAUAAUUAUCUUUUCACCCUUCUAUUUGCUAAAUAGAUAAGUAAAUAAGCAUUUAUAGUGUAAAAUUAAAUAACUCUUUUAUUGAUUCUCUAACAACAGUUGCAUAAUCAUUCAUUAUUGACUCUAUAUACAAUACCACAAAUGUAUGUUUGUGAUACGAUCCUAGGUUUCCAUUGAUAUAAAUAAAGAAAAAGAAUAGAUAAUUGUUGAUCUCUUCAAGAGAAUCUUCCUUCAAUUAAUCAAAAGACUGUACGAUUAUUUGAUUGGUAGAAUAUAAAAUCCUUGUUUAGAGAGUUUUUAGAGAAACAUUGAACCUUAUCUAAUUAUGCAUGAAUAUGGUAUUUCAAAAUUCAUAACACAAGCUAAUUUUCUUUUUUUUAAGCCUAGGGAUGGGCAUGGGUUGGUAGAAUCAGGUUUGUGAAAAUUCAACCCAACCCGCUAUUUAAGGAAUUGAGAAAAAAAAUCAACUCAAUAGAACCAAAUAAACAUGUCAAAUACAGACCAAUUCAAUUCUUAAAUUAUCAAGUUGGUUGGGUUGAUUGAAGUUAAAAAAAAAAAUUCAAACAUUGAAAAAUAUUAAAAAAACUAUUUGGUAAUUAAUUGAAAUAAGAAAAAGACAAAUUAAUUCUCUAUAAAAACUAUUUUAGUGAGAACUCGGAUUUAAUCUUUGAAUUUUGAAUCAAAGAGAACCCAACUAAUGUCAGGUUUAACAAAAUGAAAUCGAAAAAAGUCUAUUUUCUAAAAGAAUAUAAAGGUGGUCAACAGUUGACAUUAAUUUUGCUAAGAGUUUUGCCAUUCUUGGGUUGGGUUGGGUUAUAUGGUUUCACUAACAUGAACUCAACCUAAUCCAUUCAUUAAUGAGGUUGAAAAAAAUGGUCGAAAUCCAACAAAUCAAUUUAAUUAAUUUUGGGUUGAGCUUGGCUGAAUUAGAUCCAUUAGUUGAAUUUGGUUUACUCGCUCGCACUACAAAGGGAUCCAGAAGGGACUUACCGUGUUAGUCUCAUCAUCACCAUUGGUAUUUUCCGUGGGCUGAACGCUAAACGAUCAGCCUUACUUACUUCGUUUGGUUUUAUCUUCUGAUCAGUAUUAUAAUACUAGUGGUAUAUUAGAAUAUGAAUUAAGAUUCUUCAAGGAACCAUUCUUGUAUGCGUACAAGAAUUACACACCCACACACAUAUAUAUUGUCAAUUCUGUCGUGUUUGUCCCAGCUGUGUCCAUUUCUUCUGUAACAAUACCACCCUGACCUAUUCUCAGUUUUGGUACGGUGUAGGUAAAGAAGUCGCGGAUGCCGGGGCAAUAAUUUAAUUGAACCAGUGCUAUGUGAGCGAAGCAAUGCACUUAUAUUUUAUAUUUUAUCAUUUUAAACAGAAGCUUGGGUAAUAAAUGAACUGUAGAGAAAUUGAAACAUCAGCUAUUUGUCCUUAUUGAGUUUUGAGAGUUGGUGGACGCGGCGGCCAUCUGCCUAUUCGGCUAUAUUCAUUCCCUGGCGGCUAGCUCGGCCAAGUCCACUAGGUGAGGGCGGCCAUAUUUGAUCAUUCUCUGCGAUCAUCAUCGAUGGUAUUUUACCAAGGCAAGAAUGCGCAGCUCUUAUAGGGUCGGCUUCAUUUGGAAGGCACUGGUUGAGAAUUUCUAACUUAAGUGUGUGUGUGGUUGGUCAAGUCAACUCUGGUGGCCCUCUGUUUCUUAUCUCAUAAUCUUGCCUGUGUAAAACGCGUAUCGAAUUGCAACUUUGCGAGUUUGUAUGACCAACCUCCAUAAUGGUUUUGACCUAUAGCAAAUUAUUCUUAACCCUUUUUUGGUCUUGGGUUGUAAUGGCCCACCAGUGACUCUCCCAGACCGGUUCAAUUUUAAUUUCUGUCGAGAGUUGGCGCAACGAACUAAACUACCCACCAACUGUAAACUGUAGAUUCUAUGCUGGAUCUCUUGAACAACAGUUACAACCCUCUAUCCUAAAACAUUUAAUUAAUUUUGCGUAUGUGUGUACGCCAUUUUCUCUAAAAAGAAAACAGUUAUAAAUAUAGUGAAUUAAGGACUGUAAACUUCAGUUUUCUGGUCUUAAGAGAACACUGAAAGCUGCAAUGUAAUAAAAAUAUCUAUUUUCUUGUGCGUACAAAUACAAUUUUGUACAUGGAAUUUUCCAUGAAGUCAUACUGAAAGUCAUUUCUUAUUGUUUAUUACGCGGCAGUUGCGAAGUCAAUAUCACUAGAAAGAAGAAGAAAGAUAGAAGAAAAACAAAAGUGAGAGAGAGAAAACUAGAUUCUUUUAUUAAGCAUGACGUUUAAGCCUACGACUAAACUUCAUAGAGUUCAAAUCAAACAUGAACUUAAAAAACAUAACAUAUCAUUCCCUCAAAAAUAUUCUAAAUAAUAAAAGAUUUUGUUACAUGAGAAACAUGGAUUUUUUAUUUUUCAUUUUUACAACAUAUUAGUAAGGUUCAAUUAACAAAAUAAGUAAACGGUCCAUAUCUCUUUCUCCGUACUCUUGAUGAAGCUAUCUCUUGAUUUUAUUUGAGUUAAAGAGUAUAUUGAAAUAGAUAUAAAUAUGUGACUGGAUUUUUCUUUUCAGAUUUGAAUGUAUGGUGAUAUGGUUGUUUUGUUACUUUUAUUUGUUAUGAUAUGUUUAUCUUAGGAAUCGAUCUUUUUGAAAGAUCCAUAGUCACUUUGUUACUCGACAAAGUCUACUCUUAUAAUG